GGGGGCGAUCGGCUUCGACGUGGGUCGCGAACCCUCAGGUGCAUGCCGAGGCGCAGAUAACCUCGUAAAACCAGCUGCAAACAACUUAGUUGCCAACGACGACAACUACGCUCUAGCUGCUUAAAAACCAGCCUAGUGCCUUCCGCCCGGCUCGUGCUUGUGCGACCGGACCCGGGAGUCAUCCACACAAGCUCGCCGGACGGCUCGUCUGAGGCCCGAACGCUAAAAAGUAAUCAGACUGGCUCUGAGUUUUCCCUGCCCGCCGGGUAGCUCAAAGUAAGAUUAAAGGCGGUAUAAGCAUGUAGACCCUGGGGCGGAGCACUUGCGGACGCGGGUUCGAUUCCCGCCGCCUCCACCA
Molecule: transfer-messenger RNA, 358 nt
Filed under: Gammaproteobacteria bacterium
Lineage: Bacteria; Pseudomonadati; Pseudomonadota; Gammaproteobacteria
Rfam family: transfer-messenger RNA
About the family: Bacterial tmRNA, also known as 10Sa RNA or SsrA, is named for its dual tRNA and mRNA-like properties. Its role is to liberate the mRNA from a stalled ribosome.
Source: RNAcentral